GAUGAACGCUGGCGGCGUGCCUAAUACAUGCAAGUCGAGCGAACGGACGAGAAGCUUGCUUUUCUGAUGUUAGCGGCGGACGGGUGAGUAACACGUGGAUAACCUACCUAUAAGACUGGGAUAACUUCGGGAAACCGGAGCUAAUACCGGAUAAUAUUUUGAACCGCAUGGUUCAAAAGUGAAAGACGGUCUUGCUGUCACUUAUAGAUGGAUCCGCGCUGCAUUAGCUAGUUGGUAAGGUAACGGCUUACCAGGGCAACGAUGCAUAGCCGACCUGAGAGGGUGAUCGGCCACACUGGAACUGAGACACGGUCCAGACUCCUACGGGAGGCAGCAGUAGGGAAUCUUCCGCAAUGGGCGAAAGCCUGACGGAGCAACGCCGCGUGAGUGAUGAAGGUCUUCGGAUCGUAAAACUCUGUUAUUAGGGAAGAACAUAUGUGUAAGUAACUGUGCACAUCUUGACGGUACCUAAUCAGAAAGCCACGGCUAACUACGUA
RNAcentral lists this ribosomal RNA (497 nucleotides) under uncultured bacterium. Its description in RNAcentral is "partial 16S ribosomal RNA". It matches the Rfam family "Bacterial small subunit ribosomal RNA", at positions 28 to 507 of the family's 1533-position model. The record is from RNAcentral.